This is a long non-coding RNA of Penaeus chinensis, 1194 nucleotides long. RefSeq lists it as uncharacterized. NCBI's taxonomy places the organism in Eukaryota, Metazoa, Arthropoda, Malacostraca, Decapoda, Penaeidae. The transcript has 3 exons. The record is from RefSeq and is a predicted model, not a curated record.
GCCAUCGUGCGAGUAGGAGCAUUGUGCGCUUUCCCCCUACCCUCACGCACUCGCUGUUCGCGCGUGUGUGUUUCGAGUGCUUCUUGCGGGUUUACCAAGUGUUUUUUCCAGUGGCAAUUUCGACAAGUGUUUCCAAACGGAGAAUCUUAGAAGAAAGUGUUCGGUGCCUAGGCAUUCGUGUUCUUCAUUAUUGCAAAGAUAAAUGAAAUAAUUCAAUCAGGUGGUCGACUGUAAUCACCUUUGAGAGUGUUGUGUGCUUAAAUAAUAUUUCCAAGUGGUGAUAAAAAAAAUAUAUAUCUAUAUAUUUCUGGUGGAUAAUUCCUUGCAGCUUACUUGCAAGAGAUUGUAUUUUUUACCAGUUACAUAAAUGAUCAACUAAGAUCAUAAUAAGCCCAAAGGAAAAAAAAGCCUCACCAUAAAAAAUCUGUUACUGGUGCGUGCCCUUUGAAGUGAGACCCGCCAGUUUCAUCCACAGGUUCUCAAGCAUCACACACAUCCUUUAUACAGUGAAAAUGCCGUGGUUUGAGCUCUUUCUGCUCUUCUUGGCAGUGAUGAAGUCACUGCCACUUGAAGUUGUGUGCAACACGCUGCCGGACAUCUACUGGAACUCCUCCAAUCCCAUGUGAGUACCUUCAAACACGCGUUACUGCAGGACCGUGAGUAUCGGAGAGAAAAAUAAAGAUUUUCUAUAAAGCCCCAUCAGUGUAGUUUGAAGCAUGAGGGGAAAGAAUCAGUAAGUAUUUUUUUAUUCAAACUUUCAACUUAUCUGGACUUUGUUUAUACUUUCAUAACACUGUGUUUAUGUGCGGCAACAUAUACAUUUAUUUAUUGUACUACUAGCGCUAGACAGAUACGUAGGAAUAGAUAGAUCGUGAAUAGAUUAGUAAGAAUAGGUACAUGAUAAAUAAUCAGUAAACGAAGAAGAAGAAAAAAGACCAAAUAAACUGCACAAGAACAAAUAAUUUAAUCAGAAAUAUGAAAAUGUACAAAGGAAAAAAUCUCGAUGAAAGUGCAACCGCAAGUGCUCGCUGAACUUUGCUAUAUACAUUUUUUGCAGUGCAAUUAAUUACCCGAUUAAAAAAAAAAAAAAAUCAGAUAUUGCUAAUGGGGUAAUCUACGCAUUGUUUGAAAAGCGCUGAUCGAGAUGGUUCAAAAUAUGCUCUCAUAUAUUUGCUGCAACGUUUCUGGUAUUAU